This 1411-nucleotide ribosomal RNA is filed under the name Lactobacillus sp. S19. RNAcentral's name for it is "bacterial SSU rRNA". It matches the Rfam family "Bacterial small subunit ribosomal RNA". Lineage: Bacteria; Bacillati; Bacillota; Bacilli; Lactobacillales; Lactobacillaceae. The record is from RNAcentral.
CGAACUCUGGUAUUGAUUGGUGCUUGCAUCAUGAUUUACAUUUGAGUGAGUGGCGAACUGGUGAGUAACACGUGGGAAACCUGCCCAGAAGCGGGGGAUAACACCUGGAAACAGAUGCUAAUACCGCAUAACAACUUGGACCGCAUGGUCCGAGUUUGAAAGAUGGCUUCGGCUAUCACUUUUGGAUGGUCCCGCGGCGUAUUAGCUAGAUGGUGAGGUAACGGCUCACCAUGGCAAUGAUACGUAGCCGACCUGAGAGGGUAAUCGGCCACAUUGGGACUGAGACACGGCCCAAACUCCUACGGGAGGCAGCAGUAGGGAAUCUUCCACAAUGGACGAAAGUCUGAUGGAGCAACGCCGCGUGAGUGAAGAAGGGUUUCGGCUCGUAAAACUCUGUUGUUAAAGAAGAACAUAUCUGAGAGUAACUGUUCAGGUAUUGACGGUAUUUAACCAGAAAGCCACGGCUAACUACGUGCCAGCAGCCGCGGUAAUACGUAGGUGGCAAGCGUUGUCCGGAUUUAUUGGGCGUAAAGCGAGCGCAGGCGGUUUUUUAAGUCUGAUGUGAAAGCCUUCGGCUCAACCGAAGAAGUGCAUCGGAAACUGGGAAACUUGAGUGCAGAAGAGGACAGUGGAACUCCAUGUGUAGCGGUGAAAUGCGUAGAUAUAUGGAAGAACACCAGUGGCGAAGGCGGCUGUCUGGUCUGUAACUGACGCUGAGGCUCGAAAGUAUGGGUAGCAAACAGGAUUAGAUACCCUGGUAGUCCAUACCGUAAACGAUGAAUGCUAAGUGUUGGAGGGUUUCCGCCCUUCAGUGCUGCAGCUAACGCAUUAAGCAUUCCGCCUGGGGAGUACGGCCGCAAGGCUGAAACUCAAAGGAAUUGACGGGGGCCCGCACAAGCGGUGGAGCAUGUGGUUUAAUUCGAAGCUACGCGAAGAACCUUACCAGGUCUUGACAUACUAUGCAAAUCUAAGAGAUUAGACGUUCCCUUCGGGGACAUGGAUACAGGUGGUGCAUGGUUGUCGUCAGCUCGUGUCGUGAGAUGUUGGGUUAAGUCCCGCAACGAGCGCAACCCUUAUUAUCAGUUGCCAGCAUUAAGUUGGGCACUCUGGUGAGACUGCCGGUGACAAACCGGAGGAAGGUGGGGAUGACGUCAAAUCAUCAUGCCCCUUAUGACCUGGGCUACACACGUGCUACAAUGGAUGGUACAACGAGUUGCGAACUCGCGAGAGUAAGCUAAUCUCUUAAAGCCAUUCUCAGUUCGGAUUGUAGGCUGCAACUCGCCUACAUGAAGUCGGAAUCGCUAGUAAUCGCGGAUCAGCAUGCCGCGGUGAAUACGUUCCCGGGCCUUGUACACACCGCCCGUCACACCAUGAGAGUUUGUAACACCCAAAGUCGGUGGGGUAACCUUUU